This 392-nucleotide ribosomal RNA is filed under the name uncultured bacterium. RNAcentral describes it as "partial 16S ribosomal RNA". It matches the Rfam family "Bacterial small subunit ribosomal RNA", at positions 523 to 917 of the family's 1533-position model. The record is from RNAcentral.
AUACGGAGGAUGCGAGCGUUAUCCGGAUUUAUUGGGUUUAAAGGGUGCGUAGGCUGUGCGUUAAGUCAGGGGUGAAAUGCCGUCGCUCAACGACGGAGCUGCCCUUGAUACUGGCGUGCUGGAGUACGGAUGCCGUUGGAGGAAUGAGUGGUGUAGGGGUGAAAUGCUUCGAUAUCACUCAGAACACCGAUUGCGAAGGCAUCUGACGAAUCCGUCACUGACGCUGAGGCACGAAAGCGUGGGGAUAGAACAGGAUUAGAUACCCUGGUAUUCCACGCCGUAAACGAUGAUGACUAACCGUCGGCGAUAGACAGCCGGUGGCCAAGCGAAAGCGAUAAGUCAUCCACCUGGGGAGUACGUCGGCAACGAUGAAACUCAAAUGAAUUGACGGG